This 122-nucleotide ribosomal RNA is filed under the name Peromyscus maniculatus bairdii (prairie deer mouse). The record is from RNAcentral. Lineage: Eukaryota; Metazoa; Chordata; Mammalia; Rodentia; Cricetidae.
GAUUAUAGUCAUACCACCCUGAAUAUGCCCAAUCUCUUCUGACCUUGGAAGCUAGGCAAGGUCAGGUCUGGCUAGCACUUGGAUGGGAGACAUUGAGAACACACACCAGUGUGUCAUAAGCA